RNAcentral lists this ribosomal RNA (303 nucleotides) under uncultured bacterium. RNAcentral's name for it is "partial 16S ribosomal RNA". It matches the Rfam family "Bacterial small subunit ribosomal RNA", at positions 507 to 809 of the family's 1533-position model. The record is from RNAcentral.
AGCAGUAGCCGCGGUAAUACGUAGGUGGCAAGCGUUGUCCGGAAUUAUUGGGCGUAAAGGGCUCGCAGGCGGUUUCUUAAGUCUGAUGUGAAAGCCCCCGGCUCAACCGGGGAGGGUCAUUGGAAACUGGGAAACUUGAGUGCAGAAGAGGAGAGUGGAAUUCCACGUGUAGCGGUGAAAUGCGUAGAGAUGUGGAGGAACACCAGUGGCGAAGGCGACUCUCUGGUCUGUAACUGACGCUGAGGAGCGAAAGCGUGGGGAGCGAACAGGAUUAGAUACCCCCGUAGUCCCUGUCUCUUAUAA